Molecule: ribosomal RNA, 253 nt
Filed under: uncultured bacterium
Lineage: Bacteria
Description: partial 16S ribosomal RNA
Rfam family: Bacterial small subunit ribosomal RNA
Source: RNAcentral
UACGUAGGGGGCAAGCGUUGUCCGGAAUCAUUGGGCGUAAAGAGCGCGUAGGCGGUCCGGUAAGUCAGCUGUGAAAGUCCAGGGCUCAACCCUGGGAUGCCGGUCGAUACUGCCGGACUAGAGUUCGGAAGAGGCGAGUGGAAUUCCCGGUGUAGCGGUGAAAUGCGCAGAUAUCGGGAGGAACACCAAUGGCGAAGGCAGCUCGCUGGGACGUUACUGACGCUGAGACGCGAAAGCGUGGGGAGCAAACAGG